RNAcentral lists this ribosomal RNA (468 nucleotides) under uncultured bacterium. RNAcentral describes it as "partial 16S ribosomal RNA". It matches the Rfam family "Bacterial small subunit ribosomal RNA", at positions 28 to 507 of the family's 1533-position model. The record is from RNAcentral.
GACGAACGCUGGCGGCGUGCUUAACACAUGCAAGUCGAACGGAAGGGCCCUGCUUUUGUGGGGUGCUCGAGUGGCGAACGGGUGAGUAACACGUGAGUAACCUGCCCUUGACUUUGGGAUAACUUCAGGAAACUGGGGCUAAUACCGGAUAGGAGCUCCUGCUGCAUGGUGGGGGUUGGAAAGUUUCGGCGGUUGGGGAUGGACUCGCGGCUUAUCAGCUUGUUGGUGGGGUAGCGGCUUACCAAGGCUUUGACGGGUAGCCGGCCUGAGAGGGUGACCGGCCACAUUGGGACUGAGAUACGGCCCAGACUCCUACGGGAGGCAGCAGUGGGGAAUAUUGCACAAUGGGCGGAAGCCUGAUGCAGCAACGCCGCGUGCGGGAUGACGGCCUUCGGGUUGUAAACCGCUUUCGCCUGUGACGAAGCGUGAGUGACGGUAAUGGGUAAAGAAGCACCGGCUAACUACGUG